Cavia aperea (Brazilian guinea pig) is the source of this 107-nucleotide small nuclear RNA. NCBI's taxonomy places the organism in Eukaryota, Metazoa, Chordata, Mammalia, Rodentia, Caviidae. The record is from Ensembl.
GUGCUUGUUUCGGCAGCACAUACACUAACAUUGGAGCGAUACAGAGAAGAUUAACAUGGCCCCUGCGCAAGGAUGGCAUGCAAAUUCGUGAAGCAUUCCAUAUUUUU